RNAcentral lists this ribosomal RNA (427 nucleotides) under uncultured bacterium. Its description in RNAcentral is "bacterial SSU rRNA". It matches the Rfam family "Bacterial small subunit ribosomal RNA", at positions 355 to 774 of the family's 1533-position model. The record is from RNAcentral.
UAGGGAAUAUCGGACAAUGGGGGCAACCCUGAUCCAGCCAUGCCGCGUGAGUGAAGAAGGCCCUCGGGUUGUAAAGCUCUUUUGUCCGGAAAGAAAAGCAUUCGGUGAAUACCCGGAUGUUCUGACGGUACCGGAAGAAUAAGCACCGGCUAACUUCGUGCCAGCAGCCGCGGUAAUACGAAGGGUGCAAGCGUUACUCGGAAUUACUGGGCGUAAAGCGUGUGUAGGCGGUUGUUUAAGUCUGAUGUGAAAGCCCUGGGCUCAACCUGGGAAUGGCAUUGGAAACUGGGCAGCUAGAGUGCGGUAGAGGGAAGUGGAAUUCCCGGUGUAGCAGUGAAAUGCGUAGAGAUCGGGAGGAACAUCUGUGGCGAAGGCGACUGCCUGGACCAGCACUGACACUGAGGCACGAAAGCGUGGGGAGCAAACA